GGACGACGCUGGCGGCGUGCUUAACACAUGCAAGUCGAACGGUGACCCAGGGCUUGCCCUGGUGAUCAGUGGCGAACGGGUGAGUAACACGUGGGCAACCUGCCCCUGACUUCGGGAUAACUCCUCGAAAGAGGAGCUAAUACCGGAUACGACCACUUCGGACAUCCGAUGGUGGUGGAAAGUUUUUCGGUCAGGGAUGGGCCCGCGGCCUACCAGCUAGUUGGUGGGGUAAUGGCCUACCAAGGCGACGACGGGUAGCCGGCCUGAGAGGGCGACCGGCCACACUGGGACUGAGACACGGCCCAGACUCCUACGGGAGGCAGCAGUGGGGAAUAUUGCGCAAUGGGCGAAAGCCUGACGCAGCGACGCCGCGUGAGGGAUGAAGGCCUUCGGGUUGUAAACCUCUUUCAGCAGGGACGAAGCGAAAGUGACGGUACCUGCAGAAGAAGCACCGGCUAACUACGUG
This 466-nucleotide ribosomal RNA is filed under the name uncultured bacterium. RNAcentral describes it as "bacterial SSU rRNA". It matches the Rfam family "Bacterial small subunit ribosomal RNA", at positions 33 to 507 of the family's 1533-position model. The record is from RNAcentral.